AGGGACUGCGUAUAUAAAGUCCUUGACAGGCUCUUCAGUAAUCGUCUCAUGUCCCAUUUCAACAUGAAGGGAAAGGGGGACAAGGUGGCCCUUGAGACCUCCAACAUUUACAGAGCAAUGAAAGCUGCAGUAAUGAAAUGGAGCAAGGAUGCUACAGAAGAAAAUAUAAAAAAUCAUGCAUCCGAGCACCUGAAGCAUGCACCAGCAAGAAAGGGAGGAGCCGGACACAGAAAAUAAUUUUUCUGUGCAAU
This is a long non-coding RNA of Danio aesculapii, 251 nucleotides long. RefSeq lists it as uncharacterized. Lineage: Eukaryota; Metazoa; Chordata; Actinopteri; Cypriniformes; Danionidae. The transcript is spliced from 3 exons. The record is from RefSeq and is a predicted model, not a curated record.